AAAACAAAAUUUAUUUUUUUUAAUUAAGAUAGUACAUUAAAAAAGUACAUUAUAAUUAAUAUAUACUCAGUGCAACAUUUCACUAUAUGUAUAUAUGUAUAUAUGAUGAUUGUAGUAUCUCAUUACAAAACAGAAAAAAAAGGAGAGAAAAAAAUGACUCUACAAUUGCCCUUGCCACAUGUGUGCAUCAUCGUCCUACUUUUAUAUGAUGAUACGCGUAAUAGUUGCACGCACGAAUAGUUGCGCAAUUUCUUGUCGGCUUCAUCAACUGUCAUUCAAUUAAAUUAUAAACCUUGGAAUCUUUUUCUCUCUCUCUCUCUCUCACGAUUGCACCUAUAACUUAAUCCAAUAUAUCCGAACAAUAUACUUUUAUUAAUCAGAUUUAAUAACAGAGAUCUCAAAUAAAGUUUUCUGAAAAAAGCGCCAUUUAUUAACGUUGGUAAUGUAGACGACCUUAUUUACAGGAUGAUAAAUUGAAACCAUCGAGAGAAAAACGAGGCAUGACUCAUAUGGCAAAAGCGAAUGGAACAUUCCAUCGGUGGGUGACGUCGUGAUGUAUAUAUUGCGAUAUUUACAGAUACUACAAUGGAAUAAAUGGAAAUUUUUAAAUGCAGGACUAGGCAUAAAAAAGAGAUGGAAAGAAAGAGAGAGAGGGGAGGAGAGAGAGAGAGAAAGAGAGAGGGAGAGAGAGAAAGGAAAGAAGAAUAAAAAAGAAAAAAGGGAACAGAAAAAAUUUUUUUUAAGAAACUAAAAGGGCGAAAAUAAGGAAUACAGAUGAAAA
Cataglyphis hispanica is the source of this 781-nucleotide long non-coding RNA. RefSeq lists it as uncharacterized. The transcript is spliced from 2 exons. Lineage: Eukaryota; Metazoa; Arthropoda; Insecta; Hymenoptera; Formicidae. The record is from RefSeq and is a predicted model, not a curated record.